AACGAACGCUGGCGGCAUGCCUAACACAUGCAAGUCGAACGGCAGCACGGGAGCAAUCCUGGUGGCGAGUGGCGAACGGGUGAGUAAUAUAUCGGAACGUGCCCGGUCGUGGGGGAUAACGUAGCGAAAGCUACGCUAAUACCGCAUACGAUCUAAGGAUGAAAGCGGGGGAUUCGCAAGAACCUCGCGCGAUUGGAGCGGCUGAUAUCAGAUUAGGUAGUUGGUGAGGUAAAGGCUCACCAAGCCGACGAUCUGUAGCUGGUCUGAGAGGACGACCAGCCACACUGGGACUGAGACACGGCCCAGACUCCUACGGGAGGCAGCAGUGGGGAAUUUUGGACAAUGGGCGCAAGCCUGAUCCAGCAAUGCCGCGUGCAGGAUGAAGGCCUUCGGUUGUAACUAGCUUUGUACCGGUAAUAAACCUUUAGGUCGUGACCGAAGCUGAAU
RNAcentral lists this ribosomal RNA (447 nucleotides) under uncultured bacterium. RNAcentral describes it as "bacterial SSU rRNA". It matches the Rfam family "Bacterial small subunit ribosomal RNA", at positions 29 to 474 of the family's 1533-position model. The record is from RNAcentral.